Molecule: ribosomal RNA, 468 nt
Filed under: uncultured bacterium
Lineage: Bacteria
Description: partial 16S ribosomal RNA
Rfam family: Bacterial small subunit ribosomal RNA
Source: RNAcentral
GACGAACGCUGGCGGCGUGCUUAACACAUGCAAGUCGAACGGAAAGGCCCUGCUUUUGUGGGGUGCUCGAGUGGCGAACGGGUGAGUAACACGUGAGUAACCUGCCCUGGACUUUGGGAUAACUUCAGGAAACUGGGGCUAAUACCGGAUAGGAGCUCCUGCUGCAUGGUGGGGGUUGGAAAGUUUCGGCGGAUGGGGAUGGACUCGCGGCUUAUCAGCUUGUUGGUGGGGUAGUGGCUUACCAAGGCUUUGGCGGGUAGCCGGCCUGAGAGGGUGACCGGCCACAUUGGGACUGAGAUACGGCCCAGACUCCUACGGGAGGCAGCAGUGGGGAAUAUUGCACAAUGGGCGGAAGCCUGAUGCAGCAACGCCGCGUGCGGGAUGACGGCCUUCGGGUUGUAAACCGCUUUCGCCUGUGACGAAGCGUGAGUGACGGUAAUGGGUAAAGAAGCACCGGCUAACUACGUG